RNAcentral lists this microRNA precursor (191 nucleotides) under Oryza brachyantha (malo sina). Its description in RNAcentral is "MIR812 microRNA precursor family". It matches the Rfam family "MIR812 microRNA precursor family". Lineage: Eukaryota; Viridiplantae; Streptophyta; Magnoliopsida; Poales; Poaceae. The record is from Rfam by way of RNAcentral.
AAUAAACCAAUUUUUCACUUUUUACCUACAAUUUUUAACUCUCCGUCUUAUUCAAAUUUUUUUGCAAUUGAUAUUUUUGUUUUUAUUAGAUGAUAAAUCAUGAAUAGUACUUUACGUGUAACUAAUUUUUUUUCUAAUUUCCUAAAAAAAUUUCAAAUAAGAUGGAUGGUCAAACGUUGGACACGGAAACC